GUGGAAAAAGCUUCAUUUAAUUAUUAUUAUGAAUAGAAGAAUCCAUUAAUCAUUGUGUGUGUUUGGACAACCAUUGUUGAUUGCUCACUAUUCUUCAUGUGCAUUCAGAAUGUCAAUAUUGAGUUUCUGGGAUACAGUUUAGGAAUGUACACAUGGUAUACCUUUUUUUAAUUAUCUUGGAAACCGUUAAGGUUCACAAGGAAAGAGUAUUGAACAUGUGUACUCCAUUUUCCUCUAUAACUUGUUUGAAACAUUGUUCAUUUUGAUAACUACUUGCUCUAAGUUAUGCCUGAGAUGUGCGCAGAAACACAUAAGGUUGUCAUGUGAAGUCUCCAUUAUUUUUGUCCAAUUUAAACCAAAAUUUGCAGUAUAUUGACAUAUUUUCAUAAAAUGCACCAAUAUCAGAUUUCAUGAAAAUCCAUUCAGCACUUCUGGAGUUGUAUUCAUACAGGCGGACUGAUGAAGCAAACUUAACAGGCAUUCUGCAGGAUUACAGAUAUGCCUAGAAAGGCAUUCAACAUUCAUAUAACCACAUAUGAAAUAUUGUCUAUGUCACACCUCAGGUUGUUAGAUGCUGGCUUCUUACCACAGAGGCCUGGUUUCUGUCUUAGAGCAGUCCAAAUGGAGUUUAUGGCUGUCAAAGUGACACUUGUUAGGUUAUCUGCAAUUAUUUUAAUUUCCACUGAUGCUCCUUACUUGCUUUUUCUUUGCCAGUGUGCAUUCAUCUAAUGCUCCAUUACUCAUUUAUCACUGCCGCUGAGGUGUUCAGUAGGUCUGAUCAGUGAACAUAAACUAUUUCCACCAUUUCUCAUUUGGGAUUCACCUCUGACACAGCACCUGGCUGGACUCAGAGCAAAAAAGUUAACUUCUUAAGUUGAAAAUGGAGCAUCGAUUAUCUGAAUCCCAGCCAUCCGAACACACAUAACAUCACUCACCCCGGAGUGCAUUCAGCUGCAGCGUAG
Molecule: long non-coding RNA, 962 nt
Organism: Cryptotermes secundus
Lineage: Eukaryota; Metazoa; Arthropoda; Insecta; Blattodea; Kalotermitidae
Exons: 3
Source: RefSeq, a predicted model, not a curated record